UACGAAGGUCCCGAGCGUUGUUCGGAAUCACUGGGCGUAAAGGGAGCGUAGGCGGCGUGGUAAGUCAGAUGUGAAAUCCCGGGGCUCAACCCCGGAACUGCAUCCGAUACUGCCGUGCUAGAGGAAUGGAGAGGUAGCUGGAAUUCUUGGUGUAGCAGUGAAAUGCGUGGAUAUCAAGAGGAACACUCGUGGCGAAAGCGAGCUACUGGACAUUUUCUGACGCUGAGGCUCGAAGGCCAGGGUAGCGAAAGGG
This 253-nucleotide ribosomal RNA is filed under the name uncultured bacterium. RNAcentral describes it as "partial 16S ribosomal RNA". It matches the Rfam family "Bacterial small subunit ribosomal RNA", at positions 524 to 776 of the family's 1533-position model. The record is from RNAcentral.